AGGGCACCACCAGGAGUGGAGCCUGCGGCUUAAUUUGACUCAACACGGGAAAACUCACCCGGCCCGGACACUGGAAGGAUUGACAGAUUGAGAGCUCUUUCUUGAUUCAGUGGGUGGUGGUGCAUGGCCGUUCUUAGUUGGUGGAGUGAUUUGUCUGGUUAAUCCCGAUAACGAACGAGACUCUAGCCUACUAAAUAGAUCGUCGGCUUACAAACGCCGGCGAGACUUCUUAGAGGGACAGGCGGUGAUUCAACCGCACGAAACAGAGCAAUAACAGGUCUGUGAUGCCCUUAGAUGUCCGGGGCCGCACGCGCGCUACGCUGAAGUGAUCAGCGUGCUUUUUCAACCUACUCUGUCAAGAGUGGGGAACCCAAUGAACCUUCUUCGUGAUUGGGAUAGGGGAUUGUAAUUAUUCCCCUUGAACGAGGAAUUCCCAGUAAGCGCGAGUCAUAAGCUCGCGUUGAUUACGUCCCUGCCCUUUGUACACACCGCCCGUCGCUACUACCGAUUGAAUGUUUU
This 519-nucleotide ribosomal RNA is filed under the name uncultured eukaryote. RNAcentral's name for it is "SSU rRNA". It matches the Rfam family "Eukaryotic small subunit ribosomal RNA", at positions 1161 to 1699 of the family's 1831-position model. The record is from RNAcentral.